ACUCCUACGGGAGGCAGCAGUGGGGAAUAUUGCACAAUGGGCGCAAGCCUGAUGCAGCCAUGCCGCGUGUAUGAAGAAGGCCUUCGGGUUGUAAAGUACUUUCAGCAGUGAGGAAGGCGGGUACGUUAAUAGCGUGCUUGUUUGACGUUAGCUGCAGAAGAAGCACCGGCUAACUCCGUGCCAGCAGCCGCGGUAAUACGGAGGGUGCGAGCGUUAAUCGGAAUUACUAGGGCGUAAAGCGCAUGCAGGUGGUUUGUUAAGUCAGAUGUGAAAGCCCGGGGCUCAACCUCGGAAUUGCAUUUGAAACUGGCAGACUAGAGUACUGUAGAGGGGGGUAGAAUUUCAGGUGUAGCGGUGAAAUGCGUAGAGAUCUGAAGGAUACCGGUGGCGAAGGCGGCCCCCUGGACAGAUACUGACACUCAGAUGCGAAAGCGUGGGGAGCAAACAGGAUUAGAUACCCUGGUAGGAUAGCG
RNAcentral lists this ribosomal RNA (473 nucleotides) under uncultured bacterium. Its description in RNAcentral is "bacterial SSU rRNA". It matches the Rfam family "Bacterial small subunit ribosomal RNA", at positions 335 to 799 of the family's 1533-position model. The record is from RNAcentral.